Molecule: ribosomal RNA, 333 nt
Filed under: Triticum aestivum (bread wheat)
Lineage: Eukaryota; Viridiplantae; Streptophyta; Magnoliopsida; Poales; Poaceae
Description: partial small subunit ribosomal RNA
Source: RNAcentral
AUGUUUUGGAUGGUUCUGUUUCUUGAGCGGCUGCUCCCGUCCACGGCCUCCUUGAUCUCAGGAUCUGCUCCUUCCCCACGUCUGCCCACGAGGACAAGGAAGCACAGCGGUGGCCACUAUCACCGCCAGAAGGACCGUCCAUUAAGGCAGGAUGGUGUACAAGUUCCUCUUUUUUUUCUAAGCUCAGGUUCCUCUUUCUUGCAUGAGUUAUUCUUAAGUAGGAUUUACAUUAGUUGGCGCAAUCUGAUUAACUUGAAUUUUUUUAUGGUGGCCACUAUAAUUUUUGUGAGUUUUUGUUGUUCGCCCGUUGCAACGCACGGGCACUUUUACUAG